AAGCUGUGAAUGGUAACCAAAAC
RNAcentral lists this non-coding RNA (23 nucleotides) under Arabidopsis thaliana (thale cress). The record is from RNAcentral. Lineage: Eukaryota; Viridiplantae; Streptophyta; Magnoliopsida; Brassicales; Brassicaceae.